UGGGGAAUAUUGCACAAUGGAGGGAACUCUGAUGCAGCGACGCCGCGUGAACGAAGAAGGCUUUCGAGUCGUAAAGCUCUUUUAUAUGGGAAGAUAAUGACGGUACCAUAAGAAAAAGCCCCGGCUAACUACGUGCCAGCAGCCGCGGUAAUACGUAGGGGGCUAGCGUUGUCCGGAAUCACUGGGCGUAAAGGGUUCGCAGGCGGAAAUGCAAGUCAGGUGUAAAAGGCAGUAGCUUAACUACUGUAAGCAUUUGAAACUGCAUAUCUUGAGAAGAGUAGAGGUAAGUGGAAUUUUUAGUGUAGCGGUGAAAUGCGUAGAUAUUAAAAAGAAUACCGGUGGCGAAGGCGACUUACUGGGCUCAUUCUGACGCUGAGGAACGAAAGCGUGGGUAGCAAACAGG
This 403-nucleotide ribosomal RNA is filed under the name bacterium. Its description in RNAcentral is "partial 16S ribosomal RNA". It matches the Rfam family "Bacterial small subunit ribosomal RNA", at positions 355 to 776 of the family's 1533-position model. The record is from RNAcentral. RNAcentral also lists the same sequence under 1 other name.